Molecule: signal recognition particle RNA, 83 nt
Filed under: fish gut metagenome
Description: Bacterial small signal recognition particle RNA
Rfam family: Bacterial small signal recognition particle RNA
About the family: The signal recognition particle (SRP) is a universally conserved ribonucleoprotein involved in the co-translational targeting of proteins to membranes.
Source: RNAcentral
CUCGCGUGGUGUCACCUCGUCAAUCCCCCCAGGGCCGGAAGGCAGCAAGGGUCCACGAGCUCUGGCAGGUGCGCGGGGGGUCC